GGCAGAGGUUUCAGGAGGCUGGAAUGCAAUGAAUGUCCUUCCCCCGCUUGAAAUACACCUCUGGCAAAUUCUUUUCCUCGGGAGAGAGAAAACUGACUCAAAUUCAGUCUCUGGAGGUGUGAGAAUAAGGCUGGAAACAGACCUAAGCAGAAUCGUGGUGCCGGUGAUGUCUGCCGUUGGUGCCUGAGCAGAUCCAUCCUGUGCCAGAGGCUGAUAUUCUAAAGUCUGCCCCAGGAUCCAAGAUGGCUGUUGGAGUUCUAACCAUCUCACAUAUGUUCCAGGCAAAGAGGAAGUAGGACAUGAACAGAAACUUUUCAAAAGAAGACAAAAUAAUGGCCAAAAAACACA
Non-coding RNA from Microcebus murinus (gray mouse lemur), 348 nucleotides. Lineage: Eukaryota; Metazoa; Chordata; Mammalia; Primates; Cheirogaleidae. The record is from RefSeq and is a predicted model, not a curated record.